This 465-nucleotide ribosomal RNA is filed under the name uncultured Klebsiella sp. RNAcentral describes it as "bacterial SSU rRNA". It matches the Rfam family "Bacterial small subunit ribosomal RNA", at positions 338 to 795 of the family's 1533-position model. Lineage: Bacteria; Pseudomonadati; Pseudomonadota; Gammaproteobacteria; Enterobacterales; Enterobacteriaceae. The record is from RNAcentral.
CCUACGGGUGGCUGCAGUGGGGAAUAUUGCACAAUGGGCGCAAGCCUGAUGCAGCCAUGCCGCGUGUGUGGAGAAGGCCUUCGGGUUGUAAAGCACUUUCAGCGGGGAGGAAGGCGGUGAGGUUAAUAACCUCAUCGAUUGACGUUACCCGCAGAAGAAGCACCGGCUAACUCCGUGCCAGCAGCCGCGGUAAUACGGAGGGUGCAAGCGUUAAUCGGAAUUACUGGGCGUAAAGCGCACGCAGGCGGUCUGUCAAGUCGGAUGUGAAAUCCCCGGGCUCAACCUGGGAACUGCAUUCGAAACUGGCAGGCUAGAGUCUUGUAGAGGGGGGUAGAAUUCCAGGUGUAGCGGUGAAAUGCGUAGAGAUCUGGAGGAAUACCGGUGGCGAAGGCGGCCCCCUGGACAAAGACUGACGCUCAGGUGCGAAAGCGUGGGGAGCAAACAGGAUUAGAUACCCCGGUAGUC